AUGUACCCACGUACAUUCCGGUUCCUCCGCGCGGUCCGCACCCACCUGACGACUGCUCGCUACGUUUUGUUGGCC
RNAcentral lists this small RNA (75 nucleotides) under Xanthomonas campestris pv. raphani. RNAcentral's name for it is "sX9 sRNA". It matches the Rfam family "Xanthomonas sRNA sX9". Lineage: Bacteria; Pseudomonadati; Pseudomonadota; Gammaproteobacteria; Lysobacterales; Lysobacteraceae. The record is from RNAcentral.